GGGUUUAAAAGUUAGUGCGCAGGCGGUUCUGUAAGUCAGAUGUGAAAAGUCCCCGGGCUUAACCUGGGAACUGCGUUUGAAAACUGCAGAGCUAGAGUGCGGCAGAGGGGAGGGUGGAAUUCCAUGUGUAGCAGUGAAAAUGCGUAGAGAUAUGGAAGAACAUCGAUGGCGAAGGCAACCUCCUGGGCUAGCACUGACGCUCAUGCACGAAAGCGUGGGGAGCAAACAGGAUUAGAUACCCUGGUAGUCCACGCCCUAAACUAUGUCAACUAGUUGUCGGGUCUUAAUAGACUUGGUAACGUAGCUAACGCGUGAAGUUGACCGCCCGGGGAGUACGGUCGCAAGAUUAAAACU
Molecule: ribosomal RNA, 354 nt
Filed under: uncultured bacterium
Lineage: Bacteria
Description: bacterial SSU rRNA
Rfam family: Bacterial small subunit ribosomal RNA
Source: RNAcentral